RNAcentral lists this ribosomal RNA (349 nucleotides) under uncultured soil bacterium. Its description in RNAcentral is "bacterial SSU rRNA". It matches the Rfam family "Bacterial small subunit ribosomal RNA", at positions 26 to 376 of the family's 1533-position model. The record is from RNAcentral.
AGAUUGAACGCUGGCGGCAGGCCUAACACAUGCAAGUCGAGCGGUAGAGAGGUGCUUGCAUCUCUUGAGAGCGGCGGACGGGUGAGUAAUGCCCAGGAAUCUGCCUAGUGGUGGGGGAUAACGUCCGGAAACGGACGCUAAUACCGCAUACGUCCUACGGGAGAAAGCGGGGGACCUUCGGGCCUCGCGCCAUUAGAUGAGCCUAGGUCGGAUUAGCUAGUUGGUGGGGUAAUGGCCUACCAAGGCGACGAUCCUUAGCUGGUCUGAGAGGAUGAUCAGCCACACUGGGACUGAGACACGGCCCAGACUCCUACGGGAGGCAGCAGUGGGGAAUAGUUGGACAAGUGGG